Molecule: ribosomal RNA, 253 nt
Filed under: uncultured bacterium
Lineage: Bacteria
Description: partial 16S ribosomal RNA
Rfam family: Bacterial small subunit ribosomal RNA
Source: RNAcentral
UACGUAGGGUGCGAGCGUUGUCCGGAAUUAUUGGGCGUAAAGGGCUCGUAGGCGGUUUGUCGCGUCGGGAGUGAAAACCUCGGGCUUAACUCGGGGCUUGCUUUCGAUACGGGCAGACUAGAGGUAUGCAGGGGAGAACGGAAUUCCUGGUGUAGCGGUGAAAUGCGCAGAUAUCAGGAGGAACACCGGUGGCGAAGGCGGAUCUCUGGGCCGAUACUGACGCUGAGGAGCGAAAGCGUGGGGAGCGAACAGG